AUCGCUUCUCGGCCUUUUGGCUAAGAUCAAGUGUAGUAUCUGUUCUUAUCAGUUUAAUCUCUGAUACAUUCCCCAUCGGGGAAUCUAGAUUAAAUUGAUUUUUGAAAGUUGGUCAUGGAAUAAGAGCUUGCUCUGUCCUGACCGCGGAUCGGCUCGGUAUUGCAGUACCUCCGAGAUCGGUCCAUCCCCU
RNAcentral lists this small nuclear RNA (190 nucleotides) under Branchiostoma floridae (Florida lancelet). Its description in RNAcentral is "U2 spliceosomal RNA". It matches the Rfam family "U2 spliceosomal RNA". From Rfam's summary of the family: U2 is a small nuclear RNA (snRNA) component of the spliceosome (involved in pre-mRNA splicing). Complementary binding between U2 snRNA (in an area lying towards the 5' end but 3' to hairpin I) and the branchpoint sequence (BPS) of the intron results the bulging out of an unpaired adenosine, on the BPS, which initiates a nucleophilic attack at the intronic 5' splice site, thus starting the first of two transesterification reactions that mediate splicing. Lineage: Eukaryota; Metazoa; Chordata; Leptocardii; Amphioxiformes; Branchiostomatidae. The record is from Rfam by way of RNAcentral.